Apus apus (common swift) is the source of this 1457-nucleotide long non-coding RNA. RefSeq lists it as uncharacterized. The transcript is spliced from 3 exons. The record is from RefSeq and is a predicted model, not a curated record. NCBI's taxonomy places the organism in Eukaryota, Metazoa, Chordata, Aves, Apodiformes, Apodidae.
CUAUGGUGAAAUCUUUCUCUGAUAAAGACUAAGAAAUAUUUAAACAACCCAGACAGACCACAGGGGGUGACAAUCACGACAAGAAAUGAGCAGUGUAUGGCUAGUGACCUGUCUUCCCAAGAGAUGUCUCUUUGGAAUUAUUCCUGGAAUUAGACCAGCAUGAGUUCUUCUCUACCAAUCUGAGGUAAUACCACUGAAUGGCAAGAAAUACAAAGUGAUGUAUGUCCAGCUGACAGUGUCAACCCUUGCAGAAGUUCCACAUGCCUGGAGACAAAAAUAAACACAUAAAUAAAAAAGCCAAGAGAGUGGGUAAAUCUGGGGGCAUCAUCACUUCAUGAGGCAUGUUAAACAUACAUUCCUCUCUGAGGGAUAUAAGGCAAACGCUUCUGUAUGUGAUGGACAUGUUUUAUUAAGUGAUAACCCAGACUUCUGCCAUGAAGCACCUUCUUGAACAUUAACUAGUUAUUUACCUAACAGUUUAGUGGCAAAUACAAGGGCAUUGUCAUUUUUGGUUAAUUUGUACAUCCUUUACAAAGAAAAGUCAGACAAUUUAAAAUGAGAAUGAGGACAGAUAAUGUUAUAUGCUUUGAUAUUGCUCAGGCUGAAGACUUUUGCUAGAAAAAAAACAUUCAAAUUCUCUUUCCUUCAACCUGGUAUAUACCAGAUGAUGUUUUGGUUGCAACUUUUUGUAUCAGGGUGAGCCUGACAUAAAGUGAGGGCAGAAUCAGGCCUACAGGGACAUGCACAUAUAAAUAGGGCCAGUAUAAUUUGCCAAGUGAUAUGCAUGAAAAGUAAUUUACUUGCUGUGGAAUUAUCUUUUGAAAUGUUUUCUUUAAGUGUUCAUAGCUAAAAAGCAGCAGAAAUACACCCAGGUCUGAGGUGUAUCUGUAUCAUUCUGCUUCCUUGAGGUUAUAUGAAUUAUGUAUGCCCUCUUCACUUUGGAUAACAGUCUGGUCUUGGAAAGAUAUUAAUUAUUAUGUAAUAACUUUCUCUAAUUGUUUCUCACUUUAGAGGAUUUAAAAAAUUGGUUGUGUUGACAAUAGCAAAGGAUAAUUAAUGGUUGUUAAAAUGGCUGUAGUACAAAAUGAAAUGCUCACUGCUUCUGCUAGUAAUGUCAGAAAGAAAAAGUCUGUAUGAUUUUAAGGAUAUUAUAGUUGCAUUAUGUUUCUGCUCCUUUUUAUGGGAGGAGAAAUAUUCAAAUGUUUCUGCCGUUUAUGCACCCGGAAAAGCCUGCAUCAAGUCAAUCAAAUUAUUAAUCGGAUAGCACAUUAAAAUAUCCCUAAACACACUGCAAACAACGUACAAAUCCUUAUUGUUCAGAAAACCUAUUUACUUUAAAGGUUUGACCUGAUUUCAGUGGGAGCUCUGUUAAUAGGGGGUUGAAAAUUUAGGUUCUUAAUAAUAAAGAAAUCUUGACUUCAAAAAUACAAAUUAAAAAAAUAAAACACAUUUUAAAA